Molecule: long non-coding RNA, 503 nt
Organism: Humulus lupulus (European hop)
Lineage: Eukaryota; Viridiplantae; Streptophyta; Magnoliopsida; Rosales; Cannabaceae
Exons: 2
Source: RefSeq, a predicted model, not a curated record
UGGGUAUCUUUGGCUGUCAAGUUGGAGAAGUGGGAGAUUGUAGUGUUCGAUAGUAAUAUAAACCUCACACCUAAUCAAAAAUUGGUCAAACACUUGGAGCCUUUCCGGUGCAUGCUACCGUACUUGCUUCGUCAAAGUGGUAAGUUUAUGGGUCGUCUUCACAAAAUUCCUGAGCCAUUUACAUGUCGAAGGUUGUGUGACAUUCCUCAAGACCAAUCCAGCGGAGAUUGUGGAAUAUUUGCCAUCAAGCAUAUCGAGUUCGACAUGUGCGGGCUAAACAUGAAUUAUGUUCACGAUGACAAUAUUGUCUUCUUUCGAAAAAAAAUGUCAUGUGAAAUCUACAAUAGAGAUUGGGAUCCAUAGUAAAGGAAAAUCUGGAAUUGUAUUUUGUUUAUGUAUCAAACUCUUAUAGUAUGACUUGUAUUGGAUAUUUAUUAGCAAAGGCAAUGGAAUGGUAUUUUGUUUAUGUAUAAAACAGUUCUGGUAUACCACAAAUUGUUAUA